AGUUUCUUGUCUAUAUAUUUUACGCUACGACACCGCCAACACCAACACCAUCCCAUAUUCCUUAUUCUCUUUCACUCCGACCUUUUCCCUCUUUUUUCUUUUAUUUCCCUUGAUUUCCACGCAUUUCCUACAAGAUGACUUCGUUUGGGUCUUUGGAUAAGCCUUUGGCCUCCAUUGUAUCACCAUUUUCUUCUAACUUUACAUGCUUUCCAACUCUACAGGAACCGAAUCUGAACUUACAAGGCUUCUCUUAUGCAUGCUGGAAGGUUGAAAUUAACGUGUGUUUCACACUCGCACUUUGUGGGUUUAAUCCCAAAUUGUGUCUUCUUCACUCCUGAGGAUUUAUUCGAUCAUACACGUAUUUGGAUUGAUGAUUAAGUUAAUUUCAGUUGGGAACCCAGAAUGGGCUAAGAUACCCAUAUUGAUACCAAAAGGGGUUUUCUACAAGACAUUGAGAAACAUGGCUACUACCCAAUUCAAAGAAACCCUCCGUAGCAAUGAUGGUAACGAUGAUGAUGAUGAUUUCAGAUACCUUGUUGUGCGGCCGGAGAAGGGUGGAAUCGGAGAUGUUUUCCGGUGCUGGGUUUGGCCGGAUGGGGACGGUGGACGGAGAUUCUUCGAGAGCUCCGAGGAGGGUGUUUUUGGUGCGAUGGUUUCGGGAUGCAGAUGGGUCAUAGUGGUGUCAAUUAUGAUUCGAAAAAUUAUAGCCAUUCUGGCGAAACCAUUGGAAUGGACUGGAAAUGUGGUGGAAUUCACUCUCAAUCUUCUGUCUAUGAAUGGCAAUCUCUCAGGAUUGCUCUGCAAUAUCGUACGCGGAGAAGUGGUAGUGCCACGGAGGGGAACAGAAACUUUUAUGAGCAUCGUUGGGCUUUUAGAUGGUAGAAUAGAUCUAUUAAAUGAAGAAAAAAUGCUUAAAGGAAUUACUGUUUUUGUUUCUGAAGAAAGAAGCUUCGGACUUGAAAUGGAAAAUCGGAAUCUAGUGGACCUUUGCGUCAUGGCUUCAAAACUAUCCUAUGAGAACGAAAAGGUCAUUCAGAAUAUUGUGCUUCACCAUUGGAAGAUGCAUUUUGUGGGCUUCUACAAUUGCUGGAAUGAUUUUCAAAAGGACAACUCUACUCAGGUGCUCAUAUUGUGCGAUAAGCCUAACGACGCGAAUUUGAUAUUGAUCAGCUUCAGGGGCACUGAACCUUUUGAUGCAGAUGACUGGAGCACUGAUUUUGACUACUCUUGGUACGAGAUCCCGGAAGUCGGGAAAAUUCACGUAGGAUUCUUAGAGGCUCUUGGUUUGGGCAACAGAAAUGAUGCCAGUAGCUUCAAAGAUUACCUUCAGGCAGAAGCCAGUAUCAGCUCCACUGCAUCAGAUGUUCCGCAUGAUAGCAGAAGUCCAUCUGGGCAUACCAGAUCAACAAUCCCAAACUUUGAUCAAAACAUUGAACUGGAUAGAUUACUUCCAUCUUUGGAAUCUGAACAGUUUGAUGGAGUUACACCAGAAGUAGUGCAGUUGACUGCAUAUUAUGCAGUGAAACAUAAACUCAGGAGAUUACUUAUGGAGCAUAGAAAUGCAAAGUUCGUGGUCACUGGUCAUAGUUUAGGGGGAGCACUUGCGGUUCUGUUCCCUACAGUUUUGGUGCUACAUAAGGAAAUGGAAAUAAUGGGCAGGCUAUCGGGUGUAUAUACAUUUGGGCAGCCUAGGGUUGGGAACAAGCAACUGGGGCAGUUCAUGGAGGCCUAUUUGAUGAAUCCCAUUCCUAGAUAUUUCAGGUUUGUUUACUGCAAUGACAUUGUACCCAGACUGCCUUACGACGAUAAAGCUUUCUUCUUUAAGCAUUUUGGGGUUUGUCUAUACUACGACAGCCUAUUCACUGAACAUGUAUGUACAUUUUCUAACUCUUAUUUCUUGUGGUUUGAUAAGCUAGACAUUGCAAUAUUGAACUUGAACCAUAUUAUGAAUAGACUUCCCUCCAAGAAUACAUUGAAAGUAGAUGAGGAACCGAACAAGAAUUUCUUUGGGAUUAGAUACCUGAUACCGGAAUAUCUCAAUGCUUUAUGGGAGCUGAUCAGAAGCUUGCUGAUGGGCUACACUCAUGGAGUUGAGUACAGGGAGGGAUGGGUUUGCACAUUAGUAAGGGUGAUAGGGCUGGCACUUCCUGGUAUUUCUGCUCAUUGCCUCACAAAUUAUAUCGACUCUGUGAGGCUUGGUAAAAAGAACCAAUCCCUUUGAAGAUUCCAAUGAUUGUUCACUUGGCAAGGACAGAGCAAACUAAGUCCAUUCCUCUACAUGCUGUAGCAUCUUCCACUUCGAGAAAUUUUAAGCGAGACUUAGUGCGGAGAGCGGGGUCAAGUGUAGGAGAGUGAGAUGGAGCGUCAGAGAGCAAGACCGAAAAGCAAAACCCUAAGAGAAAGGGAGAGAGGAAGCUAUCUAUAAGAAAAGAGAGAGAACGAGAGAAUCAAUCUGUCUGCACGUAAGAAUUUCGUUUUGGUAAUUUCAUCCAAAUUUGACGUUGACGAAAGGUCAAAAAACCUCACUUUUAAAGCAAGGCAAAUCUUUUUUUUUUUCCUGCCUCAAAUUUGGGACAUCCGUUCAGAAGCCUUAGCCCUGCUACUCCCCCUCAUUCUCCAACAAUGAUUUUCUUUUGUGCUAUACUAGGGGCUCAUCAUUGCUUAUUAAUCAUUUACCAAAAUUCCAGAGCGUAACAUCAUUACAUUAUUGUAUGGAGAUACAUUGUUUAGUGGCAACAGGGGGCGAAGGACAGAUAUGUGUUGCCAACUACACAAUUAUUUGGUACAAGAAGUUCAAUUAAAAGAAAUCAUUCGAUAAGACGAUACAUGAUGAUGGACAAAAUGUUCAAUCCUAAUAAUGAACUUCGUACAAUUUUGUAUAAAUCAUUUCAUAAUAUUGCUUCAUCACUUUGUGGGAGAAAAGGAAGAACUUACACCUGUGUUCUACUUAUAUGUUAGAUUAUUGUCAAGAAUAGCUCUAAAAAUGUGUUUGAAAUCCAUUUUUAAGUAUUUAAUUCAAAAAAUAAGUCACUUUAAAAUAAAUUGUAGUGUUUGACAACCACUAAAAAUAAUUUUUCAUGUGUAUUUUAAUAAGUUUUUUUUUAUCAAAAGUAGUUUUUUUUAAGAACACUAUGGGCCCGAAGUUAUUAGUAAACAAAGCACCAAGAUACGUAGCUAUGUUUGUUAUGCCUUUUCUUGAGAGGACAAUGCUACAAAGGAUGCAAGAGAUGAUGGAUAUAGACAAUAUAUUUUAUUUAUAUAUAAAAACAAAUCAAUUAUACCCUUUUGAUGAAAAGUUGUUUAGCUCUCCUUGUAACUAUCUAGCAGUUUCAUAAUAGUAUUGGUG
Non-coding RNA from Benincasa hispida (wax gourd), 3346 nucleotides. The record is from RefSeq and is a predicted model, not a curated record. NCBI's taxonomy places the organism in Eukaryota, Viridiplantae, Streptophyta, Magnoliopsida, Cucurbitales, Cucurbitaceae.